Long non-coding RNA from Mercenaria mercenaria, 1037 nucleotides. RefSeq lists it as uncharacterized. NCBI's taxonomy places the organism in Eukaryota, Metazoa, Mollusca, Bivalvia, Venerida, Veneridae. The record is from RefSeq and is a predicted model, not a curated record. The transcript has 4 exons.
CUGUUUAGUAUAUAAUGGGUCAUCUACACUAAGAAACCUUGCAAGCUCGCAAAAGUCUGCCACCACUUCAGCUGACUUGGUGAUGAUGGUGAAAAUUGCAGUUCCUGAAAAUCCCCAUGUUGAUGACCUAGCAGUAAGAGUAUCUCAGCAGAAAAUAUACAUUCCUUAAUAUGUAUCUUCAUUCUCUAAGCUAGUGAGACAAUGAUUGGUUAUCUCCAUCCAGAAAUGAAAGAACUACAAUAACUGUGGAAGUUUUUAGGGAAGCAUGUACAGACCAAGGUUAUCUCAUCUGCCGGAACCAUCACUCAAGUCCCUUUUGAAGGAAAACUAACGUCCAGACAGGGACCUGGCUCUGCGUAUAGGUACUCGUACAUUUCUUCAUGACAAUCCUGACAUUCCAGAAGAGACCAUUAGAAAGUUUUUCAGUUGUGGCUCUUGCAAGAAGGUUUACUCAUGAUGUCCCUUGUGACCCGCUGGUAGAGAAGUACUCAGAUUACAAAAUCAGCCCAGAACCUGAUCUGCCAAAAUUCAGCAAUAGGGUUUACACCAUUGGAUACAUUCAGGCUCAAUAUGGAAGACAUCAGACUUAUAGAUGGGAACAAGAGAUUCAAGAAGCUUCAAGCCAUUGCCUUAGUCAUACUGUCUUUACCACUAAGCAGUGCCGAUUUAAAGAAAUGCUUCUCAACAGUGUUAGAUACAAUAAAUCGUUUCUAGUACGACGUAUCACUAAACAACACCGCAUGUACGGUUGAAUUGUUAGCAGAUGACGGCUAGUGAAAGUGUAGUAUGUGGACCAAAGUGCCAAUCAUGUGGCAUUUGUUGCGAGUGAACUCUUCUCCAUUCAGUUCAGUAGGCUGUAGUCAGAAGACAAAGAACGAUCACAAGUCUCGGAAGGAAGGCUUAACAGUCAGAGACUUUCGAUAUUCCCGGGAAAUGUGAAAUGGAGCCAGUCUUUGUGUAGAAUUCCAGAGACAUUGUUCCCAUGGAAAGGUGAAAUGGUUCCAUGCAUUUUGUAUGUCUCCUGCAAUUCUUCAAUA